AUUGAACGCUGGCGGCAGGCUUAACACAUGCAAGUCGAGCGGAGCGAGGGUGCUCGCACCUUCGCUUAGCGGCGGACGGGCGAGUAAUGCUUACGAAUCUGCCUAUCAGUGGGGGACAACAUGCCGAAAGGAACGCUAAUACCGCAUACGUCCUACGGGAGAAAGUGGGUGAUCUUCGGACCUCACGCGAUCAGCUGAGCCUAGGUCGGAUUAGCUAGUUGGUAGGGUAAAGGCCUACCAAGGCGACGAUCCGUAACUGGUCUGAGAGGAUGAUCAGUCACACUGGAACUGAGACACGGUCCAGACUCCUACGGGAGGCAGCAGUGGGGAAUAUUGGACAAUGGGCGAAAGCCUGAUCCAGCCAUGCCGCGUGUGUGAAGAAGGCCUUCGGGUCGUAAAGCACUUUAAGUUGGGAGGAAGGGCUCAUAGCGAAUACCUGUGAGUUUUGACGUUACCAACAGAAUAAGCACCGGCUAACUUCGUGCCAGCAGCCGCAGUAA
This 500-nucleotide ribosomal RNA is filed under the name uncultured bacterium. RNAcentral's name for it is "partial 16S ribosomal RNA". It matches the Rfam family "Bacterial small subunit ribosomal RNA", at positions 30 to 523 of the family's 1533-position model. The record is from RNAcentral.